AUUGAACGCUGGCGGCAGGCCUAACACAUGCGAGUCGAGCGGAUGAAGGGAGCUUGCUCCUGGAUUCAGCGGCGGACGGGUGAGUAAUGCCUAGGAAUCUGCCUGGUAGUGGGGGAUAACGUCCGGAAACGGGCGCUAAUACCGCAUACGUCCUGAGGGAGAAAGUGGGGGAUCUUCGGACCUCACGCUAUCAGAUGAGCCUAGGUCGGAUUAGCUAGUUGGUGGGGUAAAGGCCUACCAAGGCGACGAUCCGUAACUGGUCUGAGAGGAUGAUCAGUCACACUGGAACUGAGACACGGUCCAGACUCCUACGGGAGGCAGCAGUGGGGAAUAUUGGACAAAGGGCGAAAGCCUGAUCCAGCCAUGCCGCGUGUGUGAAGAAGGUCUUCGGAUUGUAAAGCACUUUAAGUUGGGAGGAAGGGCAGUAAGUUAAUACCUUGCUGUUUUGACGUUACCAACAGAAUAAGCACCGGCUAACUUCGUG
RNAcentral lists this ribosomal RNA (484 nucleotides) under uncultured bacterium. RNAcentral's name for it is "partial 16S ribosomal RNA". It matches the Rfam family "Bacterial small subunit ribosomal RNA", at positions 30 to 507 of the family's 1533-position model. The record is from RNAcentral.